CUCGCUGUAGCUAAGAUCAGUCCACUGCAGCAGGAGUUUCAAGAACAGCAGCACAAAAAUAAUGACUUAACUGGAUAGAAAAAAAGGCACAUAUUUUCAGGAAGGCCUCUUUAUUCUUAGAAGUUACCCUUCAAGAUGACAAGUGGUGCAAACUCUUCAGGAUCUUACCUGCCCUCAGAAAUAAGAGUUCUAAAAUAGAUGACAACUACUUGAAGGAAUUGAAUGAGGACUUAAAGCUAAGGAAGCAGGAACUGCUAGAGAUGCUCAAACCUCUAGAAGAUAAAAACAACCUCUUAUUUCAAAAGUUAAUGUCUAACUUGGAGGAAAAACAAAGGAGCUUCAGAUCAUGAGACAGAUCAUGGCAGGGAAGGGGUGUGAGGAAUCCUCGGUCAUGGAGCUCCUUAAGGAAGCAGAGGAGAUGAAACAGAACUUGAAAGGAAAAACAAGAUGCUUCGGAAGGAAAUGGAGAUGCUAUGGAACAAGCAUUCGAGGCAGAAGAACUUAGUGAUCAACAAAAAGCACCACAGACAAAAAACAAGGCAGACUUGCAGGAUGGAAAGGCAAGUGGACUGCAUGUACUUAAAAUUUCAAGAUUGUCGAUGUCACACAGCUGGA
Molecule: long non-coding RNA, 615 nt
Filed under: Homo sapiens (human)
Lineage: Eukaryota; Metazoa; Chordata; Mammalia; Primates; Hominidae
Description: HSALNT0212376
Source: RNAcentral